Pan troglodytes (chimpanzee) is the source of this 148-nucleotide non-coding RNA. It matches the Rfam family "Metazoan signal recognition particle RNA". From Rfam's summary of the family: The signal recognition particle (SRP) is a universally conserved ribonucleoprotein. Lineage: Eukaryota; Metazoa; Chordata; Mammalia; Primates; Hominidae. The record is from Rfam.
GCCAGGCAUGGUGGCACAUGCCUGUAGUCCCAGCUACUCGGGAAGCUGAGGUGGGAGGAUCGCUUGAGCCCAGGAAGUCAAGGCUGCAGUGAGCUGAGAUUGCGCCACUGCACUCCAGCCUGGGCGACAGAGUGAGACCCUGUCUCAA